This 484-nucleotide ribosomal RNA is filed under the name uncultured bacterium. RNAcentral's name for it is "partial 16S ribosomal RNA". It matches the Rfam family "Bacterial small subunit ribosomal RNA", at positions 30 to 507 of the family's 1533-position model. The record is from RNAcentral.
AUUGAACGCUGGCGGCAGGCCUAACACAUGCAAGUCGAGCGGAUGAAGGGAGCUUGCUCCUGGAUUCAGCGGCGGACGGGUGAGUAAUGCCUAGGAAUCUGCCUGGUAGUGGGGGAUAACGUCCGGAAACGGGCGCUAAUACCGCAUACGUCCUGAUGGAGAAAGUGGGGGAUCUUCGGACCUCACGCUAUCAGAUGAGCCUAGGUCGGAUUAGCUAGUUGGUGGGGUAAAGGCCUACCAAGGCGACGAUCCGUAACUGGUCUGAGAGGGUGAUCAGUCACACUGGAACUGAGACACGGUCCAGACUCCUACGGGAGGCAGCAGUGGGGAAUAUUGGACAAUGGGCGAAAGCCUGAUCCAGCCAUGCCGCGUGUGUGAAGAAGGUCUUCGGAUUGUAAAGCACUUUAAGUUGGGAGGAAGGGCAGUAAGUUAAUACCUGGCUGUUUUGACGUUACCAACAGAAUAAGCACCGGCUAACUUCGUG